RNAcentral lists this ribosomal RNA (504 nucleotides) under uncultured bacterium. Its description in RNAcentral is "partial 16S ribosomal RNA". It matches the Rfam family "Bacterial small subunit ribosomal RNA", at positions 30 to 523 of the family's 1533-position model. The record is from RNAcentral.
AUUGAACGCUGGCGGCAGGCCUAACACAUGCAAGUCGAACGGUAGCACAGAGAGCUUGCUCUCGGGUGACGAGUGGCGGACGGGUGAGUAAUGUCUGGGAAACUGCCCGAUGGAGGGGGAUAACUACUGGAAACGGUAGCUAAUACCGCAUAACGUCGCAAGACCAAAGUGGGGGACCUUCGGGCCUCACACCAUCGGAUGUGCCCAGAUGGGAUUAGCUAGUAGGUGGGGUAAUGGCUCACCUAGGCGACGAUCCCUAGCUGGUCGGAGAGGAUGACCAGCCACACUGGAACUGAGACACGGUCCAGACUCCUACGGGAGGCAGCAGUGGGGAACAUUGCACAAUGGGCGCAAGCCUGAUGCAGCCAUGCCGCGUGUAUGAAGAAGGCCUUCGGGUUGUAAAGUACUUUCAGCGGGGAGGAAGGCGGUGAAGUUAAUAACUUCACCGAUUGACGUUACCCGCAGAAGAAGCACCGGCUAACUCCGUGCCAGCCGCCGCUGUAA